GUUGUAUAGUCAAGUAAUUAAGUGCAUGUGGUGGAUGCCUUGGCAGUCAGAGGCGAUGAAAGACGUGAUAGCCUGCGAAAAGCUCCGGGGAGGCGGCAAAUAUCCUUUGAUCCGGAGAUGUCUGAAUGGGGGAACCCACCUACUUUAAGGUAGGUAUUGCAACAUGAAUACAUAGUGUUGCAAGGCGAACGAGGGGAAGUGAAACAUCUCAGUACCCUUAGGAAAAGAAAUCAAUUGAGAUUCCCUCAGUAGCGGCGAGCGAACGGGGAUCAGCCCAUUAAGUUAUGUGUGUUUUAGUGGAACG
RNAcentral lists this ribosomal RNA (304 nucleotides) under Klebsiella pneumoniae. RNAcentral describes it as "partial 23S ribosomal RNA". It matches the Rfam family "Bacterial large subunit ribosomal RNA", at positions 1 to 296 of the family's 2925-position model. Lineage: Bacteria; Pseudomonadati; Pseudomonadota; Gammaproteobacteria; Enterobacterales; Enterobacteriaceae. The record is from RNAcentral.